This 406-nucleotide ribosomal RNA is filed under the name uncultured bacterium. RNAcentral's name for it is "partial 16S ribosomal RNA". It matches the Rfam family "Bacterial small subunit ribosomal RNA", at positions 30 to 526 of the family's 1533-position model. The record is from RNAcentral.
AUUGAACGCUGGCGGCAGGCCUAACACAUGCAAGUCGAACGCGUGGCGGACGGGAGAGUAAUGUCUGGGAAACUGCCUGAUGGAGGGGGAUAACUACUGGACACGGUAUCUAAUACCGCAUACCAUCGGAUGUGCCCAGAUGGGAUGAGCUUGUUGGUGGGGUAACGGCUCACAAAGGCGACGAUCCCUAGCUGGUCUGAGAGGAUGACCAGCCACACUGGAACUGAGACACGGUCCAGACUCCUACGGGAGGCAGCAGUGGGGAAUAUUGGACAAUGUGCGCAAGCCUGAUGCAGCCAUGCCGCGUGUAUGAAGAAGGCCUUCGGGUUGUAAAGUACUUUCAGCGGGGAGGCGUUACCCGCAGAAGAAGCACCGGCUAACUCCGUGCCAGCAGCCGCGGUAAUAC